Molecule: ribosomal RNA, 490 nt
Filed under: uncultured bacterium
Lineage: Bacteria
Description: partial 16S ribosomal RNA
Rfam family: Bacterial small subunit ribosomal RNA
Source: RNAcentral
GAUGAACGCUAGCUACAGGCUUAACACAUGCAAGUCGCGGGGCAGCAUGGGGGUUGCUUGCAAUCCCCGAUGGCGACCGGCGCACGGGUGAGUAACGCGUAUCCAACCUGCCCUUCACCACGGGAUAACCCGGCGAAAGUCGGACUAAUACCGUAUGUUGUCCAUUGACGGCAUCCGAUUUGGACGAAAGGCUUGGCGGUGAGGGAUGGGGAUGCGUCCGAUUAGCCAGACGGCGGGGUAACGGCCCACCGUGGCUACGAUCGGUAGGGGUUCUGAGAGGAAGGUCCCCCACACUGGAACUGAGACACGGUCCAGACUCCUACGGGAGGCAGCAGUGAGGAAUACUGGUCAAUGGGCGUAAGCCUGAACCAGCCAAGUAGCGUGCAGGAUGACGGCCCUAUGGGUUGUAAACUGCUUUUAUGCGGGGAUAAAGUGGCCCACGUGUGGGCUUUUGCAGGUACCGCAUGAAUAAGGACCGGCUAAUUCCGUG